RNAcentral lists this ribosomal RNA (253 nucleotides) under uncultured bacterium. RNAcentral describes it as "partial 16S ribosomal RNA". It matches the Rfam family "Bacterial small subunit ribosomal RNA", at positions 524 to 776 of the family's 1533-position model. The record is from RNAcentral.
UACAGAGGUUGCGAGCGUUAAUCGGAAUUACUGGGCGUAAAGCGCGCGUAGGCGGCUUUGCAAGUCGGGUGUGAAAUCCCCAGGCUUAACCUGGGAACUGCAUCCGAGACUGCAUUGCUAGAGUAUGGGAGAGGGAAGUGGAAUUUCCGGUGUAGCGGUGAAAUGCGUAGAUAUCGGAAGGAACAUCAGUGGCGAAAGCGACUUCCUGGACCAAUACUGACGCUCAUGUGCGAAAGCGUGGGGAGCAAACAGG